RNAcentral lists this ribosomal RNA (497 nucleotides) under uncultured bacterium. RNAcentral describes it as "partial 16S ribosomal RNA". It matches the Rfam family "Bacterial small subunit ribosomal RNA", at positions 28 to 507 of the family's 1533-position model. The record is from RNAcentral.
GAUGAACGCUGGCGGCGUGCCUAAUACAUGCAAGUCGAGCGAACAGACGAGGAGCUUGCUCCUCUGACGUUAGCGGCGGACGGGUGAGUAACACGUGGAUAACCUACCUAUAAGACUGGGAUAACUUCGGGACACCGGAGCUAAUACCGGAUAAUAUAUUGCACCGCAUGGUUCAAUAGUGAAAGACGGUUUUGCUGUCACUUAUAGAUGGAUCCGCGCCGCAUUAGCUAGUUGGUAAGGUAACGGCUUACCAAGGCAACGAUGCGUAGCCGACCUGAGAGGGUGAUCGGCCACACUGGAACGGAGACACGGUCCAGACUCCUACGGGAGGCAGCAGUAGGGAAUCUUCCGCAAUGGGCGAAAGCCUGACGGAGCAACGCCGCGUGAGUGAUGAAGGUCUUCGGAUCGUAAAACUCUGUUAUUAGGGAAGAACAAAUGUGUAAGUAACUAUGCACGUCUUGACGGUACCUAAUCAGAAAGCCACGGCUAACUACGUG